Molecule: transfer RNA, 87 nt
Filed under: Paracoccaceae bacterium
Lineage: Bacteria; Pseudomonadati; Pseudomonadota; Alphaproteobacteria; Rhodobacterales; Paracoccaceae
Description: Rhodobacteraceae bacterium tRNA-Leu
Rfam family: tRNA
About the family: Transfer RNA (tRNA) molecules are approximately 80 nucleotides in length.
Source: RNAcentral
GCGGCUGUGGCGGAAUUGGUAGACGCGCAGCGUUGAGGUCGCUGUGGGGUAGUACCCGUGGAAGUUCGAGUCUUCUCAGCCGCACCA